GUCUGUUUUCACGGUGGCGUACGUUGUGACGACCCGGAUGAGAGGGACAAAAUCCCAACGCCUAGCACACCUGUAAAUACUCUCAAAGACUACAUCAAGGAUCAUAUUCCUCUCUUAGAAACGGAACCAGCUAUCGUAGAGAAAUGCAUGUACACGGUAACACCUGAUGAGAUCUUUAUCAUUGAUACAUUGCCAGAGCAUAAAAAUAUUGUCAUCGGUGCUGGUUUCUCAGGAACUGGUUUCAAAACUUCUCCGACCGUCGGAAGGUUACUGAGUGAAAUGGCAGUUGGGAUAAAACCUUUCUUAGACGUCACUCCUUUCCGAUUAUCCAGAUUCGAAUCCCAAGCAGGGCAAUAAAGAUUUCAAGGAUACCACAUAUUUAGAGAAGAGGAUACUGAUCUAUUCGAUAAUUUCAUUUCUGAAAAAUUUGUCUGAACGUGGCUUUAUUUGAUGUCAAUUUAUAGAAAAUUAAUAGAAAAAUUUCAUAAAGAGAUAUUGUAAUCAUAUUUAUCUAAGCAAUUUUUUUCUUUAGGUAUCAUUGUUGCAUUUAUAAUAUAUGCUGCAUACAUUAAUUAUUUGUAAAUUUGACUUAGACUAAAAAUAUUAAUACAAUCUCUU
Stegodyphus dumicola is the source of this 618-nucleotide long non-coding RNA. Lineage: Eukaryota; Metazoa; Arthropoda; Arachnida; Araneae; Eresidae. The record is from RefSeq and is a predicted model, not a curated record.